RNAcentral lists this ribosomal RNA (1914 nucleotides) under Triticum aestivum (bread wheat). RNAcentral describes it as "partial small subunit ribosomal RNA". The record is from RNAcentral. Lineage: Eukaryota; Viridiplantae; Streptophyta; Magnoliopsida; Poales; Poaceae.
AUGAGUUCGAUCCUCAGUAUUUUUCUCACGCGCGGCCCAGAAAAGGUCUGGCGGGCUAUGUGGCCCAAAUACAGUUCCAACCAUAUGUUUCUAUGCUUUGUUGUCAAGCAACUUAAUUUUGCAACAACACCCCAACUUGUGUAUGCGUCGUGCGCCGCCGCCGCCGCCGCCGAACUGCACGUACCUCUGAUCUCGAUCGACUUGAUCCUGACGUGCGCCGGCACCCACCCGGCCGCCCCCAUGCAGGUAGCAUCUCAAUCCUUUACGUGCUCCUCUACUCCCAUGUUAACACUUAACAUGAACCAGACAAGCACCAACAAGUGCCCCAUGCUUGUACUUCCCCGAUCUGAUCCAUCUCAUUCUUCUUCUUUUACACCUGAAUGUGAUGAGCAUUUGAAGCCUAAAGUGGGUAUGACAUUUGAAGGACUCGAGGCUGUGGAGAAGUUCUACAAGGCAUAUGCACAUCAAUCAGGUUUUGGCGUUCGUAUUGGACAACAGAAAAAGAUUGAGAAUAAGGUGGUCCGGACUAAGCGUUUCAUGUGUAAUAGAGAAGGAUUCAAGUCAAAAGAUAUUAAGGAGAUUAAUGACCCCUUGAGGAAAAGACGUAAGCAGACAGACACGCGAUGCGGUUGUGAUGCCCAUAUAUUUGUUAGACUUUGUGGGGAGAACACCUACAAGAUAGACUCAUGGAUUGAGCAUCAUGUUCAUGGUCUUGUAUCACCUGAUAAGCGUCAUUUGAUCAGAUCCAAUCGUAGAGUUAGUGAGAGGGCAAAGAAUACUUUAUACACAUGUCAUAAGGCAAGCAUUGGAACCUCCCAGGCAUAUAGGCUCCUGCAAGUUAGCGAGGGUGGAAUUCCGAAUGCUGGGUGCACAAAGAGGGACUUGCAAAAUUACUAUCGCGGACUCAGGUAUAAAAUCAGAGACGCAGAUGCUCAAAUGUUUGUGGCCCAAUUAGCUAGAAAGCAGGAAGUGAAUUCAGCAUUUUUCUAUGAUUUUGAGGUGAAUGAUGAGGGGAACCUGGGGUUAAUCAUCACUUACAAAGUGUCCUUUUUGGUGCUGGAUUCUUAUCAAAUGAGAAGGAUGAGUCAUACAUUUGGUUAUUUCAGACCUAUUAUCCAAGUGUUGAGGAUUGAGAACCAAAACGAGCUUCCCAACUACUACAUUAUGAAAAGAUGGCAGAAACGGUGCAAGAGGGAGAAUGUUUAUGAUGAACAGGGGAACCUACUAGAAGAAAAGCCCACAGAUUCACUAGAUGCAGCCACGAGAAAGAAGAUUUCGACUGUACGUGAUAAGAUGGAAGAGCUGAUUCAAAAGGCAAAGCACUCAAAUGAAGGCAUGGACUUCUUAACAUCAAGUGUGUUGAGCAUUGAGGCGCCUUUAGACCAAAUGGUCCCUGCAGCCACACAGAACACUAGGCAAGAGGAAUAUGAGGCUUUUAUUGGUUGUAAUAUUCCUACAGAAGUUCAUAUACAUCCACCAAUUGAUGUUCGUACCGUGGGGAGAUGCAAAAGAAUAAAGAGUGGAAAGGAGAUCAAGGAGGGUGAUAGGAAAAGGAAGGACAAAGAAGCGAAGUUAAAGGUUGCACGGUUGUGCAAGACAUGCAAGCAAAUGGAGGCUAUCCAGGGGGUGUUGGCACCGCAUUUGAGACGAGUCGUCACCGUCACGGAACCAUCAAUUCGCCAUGGCUUCGUCGUUGAGACGGCCGCCGGAUCUCCGUUGUUGUCGCUAGUCGCCGUUGUCGUCCCUUCUUGGUUGCCGUCGCAAACGGACUUCAUGGGAGUCGUCCAGCCCAAGGUUGCUAUCGCACGAGGGCUUGGGUUGGGAUUUAGGUGUUGGAGCGACGGCGUGCGGGAUUUGGCAGCAGAGGAUCAGAGGAUUUGGGGCAGCACGAAACGACUUGGGGACCUCGGUUGA